AGGGGCUCUCGCGGGCAGGUGACCACUCCUUCCAAGAGCCCUUGAAUUUCCAGGAAGGAGUCUUGGUGGCUACUGAGACUGGGCUGUAUGAAAACUGCCAGAGGAAAUGCCAAUCGGGAUGGCUAAAGAUCUCGAGGAAAGUGGCUCAUCCUCAGAGGAGGAGGAGGAGGAAGAUGCUAUAGAUGCACUGGAGGAUCAUCCAUGUAUCAAGUGGACCGGUGGUGGCUGCAGGCGGAUCCCAGUCUUGGUAUUUCAUGCUGAAGCCAUUCUGACCAAGGACAGUUACCUCCGCCUCAUUGGAGAGCGCUACCACAUGUCCUACAAGAUAGUGCGAACAGACAGCCGGCUGGUUCGAAGUAUUCUGACUGCCCAUGGAUUCCAUGAGGUUCACCCUAAUAGCAGCGAUUAUAAUCUCAUGUGGACAGGAUCACACUUGAAGCCCUACUUGCUGCGUUCCCUAACAGAUAUUCAGAAAGUCAAUCAUUUCCCUAGGUCGUAUGAACUGACACGAAAGGACAGACUAUACAGAAACGUCACUCGUAUGCAGCUGACCCAUGGAUUCAAGACAUUCCAUAUCUUACCUCAGACCUUUAUCCUCCCAACAGAGUACCAGGACUUCUGCAAUACCUAUUCUAAGGACAGAGGGCCAUGGAUAGUGAAGCCUGUGGCCUCUUCGAGGGGUCGAGGUGUCUACCUGAUAAACAAUCCAAGCCAGAUUGUCGUGGAAGACAACAUCCUGGUUUCUCGUUACAUCAGCAACCCCUUGCUCAUAGAUGAUUUCAAAUUUGAUGUGCGGCUCUAUGUUCUGGUUACAUCCUACGAUCCACUUGUCAUCUAUCUCUAUGAGGAAGGAUUGGCCAGGUUUGCAACAGUGAGGUAUGACCAGGCAUCUAAGAACAUUAAAAACCAGUUCAUGCAUCUGACCAACUACAGUGUCAAUAAGAAGAGUGGAGAUUAUGUCAGCUGUGAUGAUCCUGAAGUAGAGGAUUAUGGAAACAAGUGGAGCAUGAGUGCAAUGCUGAGGUACUUAAAACAAGAGGGGAGAGACACUGCAGCACUGAUGGCCAAUGUGGAAGACCUGAUUAUCAAGACUGUAGUUUCUGCUGAGCUGUCCAUUGCCUCGGCUUGUAAAAGUUUUCUUUCACAUCGUGGCAGCUGCUUUGAACUGUAUGGUUUUGAUGUCCUUAUCGAUGACACUCUCAAACCCUGGCUGUUGGAAGUGAACCUGUCUCCAUCAUUGGCCUGUGAUGCUCCUUUGGACCUGAAGAUCAAAGCUAGCAUGCUCUCAGAUAUGUUCACUCUUGUAGGCUUCGUGUGCCAGGAUCCAGGCCAGCGGUCAAGCCGGACCAUUUAUCAUUCAGCUGAAUCUGUCAGGAGAAAUCCAUACCAGAAGAUGCAACGUCCUGCGUCUGCACAGUCACAAACAGCAAACACCAGAUUGCGAACCCGUCCUCUGUCUGCCAGUGAUGCUGAAGUUAAAAGCUCGAUGCCCUUAGGCAGGGAAAAAGCAACAGGAAAGCACAGCAGCUCUGUGGUAGGCCUGUCCAUGGAGGAGAUAAAAGUUCUUCGACGAGUGAAAGAGGAAAAUGAACGGAGAGGAGGCUUCAUCCGGAUAUUCCCUACCCCAUUAACAUGGGACCUUUAUGGAUCAUUUUUAGAGCACAAGACAUCAAUGAACUACAUGCUGGCUACACGUCUGUUUAAGGACAGGGGCAAGAUGAAAAGAGACUUCAUCACUGGAAGAUCCCGAGCAGGUCUUAAUGGAAGGCUGGAUAUGAGGAUGGAAGCUGUGGACUCUCAUGCUCUGUUUUAUGAGAGAAAGCUUAUUUCACUGGAGUUACGGAAGCGUCGGCGAUGUCAUGGCAAGGCUAGAGCAGCACAAAUGAGAUCAUCAGGCACAUCAGAAUCAGCAAAGCUGUCCCUCAAGUCAGACACAGAAGGUGAGGAGGAAGAGGAGGUGGAUGCAGAUGAAGAUGAAGAGCUAGAUAGAACUGUUUGCUCUGUUUCGGACACCCAGGUGAAAAACAAGCCAAAGCUCCCUGACUCAGUGAAAAUUACUUGUAAGGAGAGGUUGCCAAAAAAACUUGACAAAAAAACUGGAGAUGGAGAAGAGCAGUUUCUGCAAAAACUAGGCUCAGAAUCUCAGUUUAACUUGCUUCAGAUUCUUCAAAAGCAUGGAAACCUGAGCAAAGUGCAAGCCCGUACGGCUUUCUCUGCCUAUCUACAGCAUGUUCAGUUCCGACUCAUGAAGGAGGCUGGCGACCAGAUCCAGAAUCCUACCUGGGCUGCCAAAGAGGAUGAGCAAAUGGAGCUGGUGAUCCGCUUUCUGAAGCGAGCUGCCAGCAAUCUCCGUCAGUCCUUGAGGCUGCUGCUCCCCAGCCGUCGUUUAGGACUAAGUGAUCGUCGUCGUCUCCUGGCUCGCCAGCUGGGAGAGUUCAUAAUCUGUUAUAACAAGGAAACAGAGCAGAUGGUUCAGAAAAGAUCAAAAAAGAAACAGGAAGAGGAGGAGGAGGGAGUGAAUCCUGAAGGUUUUCAGAACUUUAUUACCAAAGCAAGUGAAAGUGACCUGGAGGAAGUACUGACAUUUUACACACACAAAAACAAAUCAGCAAGUAUCUUCCUAGGAGCAAAAUCCACAAGCACAAAACACAGCAACAGCAGUCGCCAGUCAGAGAAGCAGCCCCAAGGUGAGCAUCCUGAGGUGGUGGAAAAAAUAAAGGGUGAUCAUCCCAAAAGUUCAGUUGCAGAUGUGCCUGCAGAAGGAGCACUAAAAGGCUAUAAACCCAAAGAAGUUAAAUCAAACUUUCCGGAAGGACCCAUCUUCUCUUUAAAUGCUGAAGUGAAAUUACCUCGAUGCAGCCGUUCUAGUACUUCUUCCUCUGUUUCUGGUGCCACGUUCCAGAGAAGUACCAGUUCCUGGGUACCAUCUCAGCCUGCGGCCUCUGAAAAUUUGCAGGUGGAUGGUCACCAUUCAUUGCUGGCUCCUCCAGUUGCUCCCAGACUGAUUCAGUCCCCACCCCCACUACCCUCCUUGCAGAGCACAGCUCCUGACAGCUCUUCUGUCUUCACAAACCCAGUGUCCAGUGAGACCUGUAGCCUUGCAGGGUUACAUCGGUGUCGUCCUGGUAGCUACACCAUUGGUCCGUUCUCAUCUUUUCAGAGAGCUGCUCAGAUCUACAGCCAAAGAUUGUCCCGACCAUCCUCUGCAAAAGUAGGUUUGUGCCAUCGCAGUUCAAAUGGGCAGCGUGUGGGCUCAGCCAGGAUGCAAAAAGAAACCGAAUAUACUUCUUCCCAGGGCAAAUGUCACGGCCCCGGUAUGGCAGCAGCGGAACUGCAGCACUUGGCAGAAAAGCAAGCAGCCUGUCAGUAUUCUCCACCAAGCCACAUCAGUCUCCUUACACAGCAGUUAACAAACCUGAACUUGGCAAGUGGAGCUAUAAGCAAGGGGAAUGCAGCUGCCCCACAGAACUACCGGUCACCACUCAACAAAAGAGGGUCACUGUGGGCUGUUCAGUCAGACACUCAUAGAGCUGACAAAAGAUCUUCAGCAGUCAGGGCUCUGGAGAAUCAUCAUUUUGCCUGUGACAGAGAGGUGGAGAACAGUGUCUACAACAAGGUGACAGAGAGUCCACUGGCACAUCCCAACUAUCAGCUUCAUUUUGCUGUGCAGCAACUUCAGCAGCAGAAACUUCAGUCACGACAAUUGUUGGAGCAAAACCAAACACGGCAACAGGCUCUCUUUGCCAACUACUCACAACCCAGCACCAGCCAUAUAUCUAUGCCAGCUGGCUCUGAUGCCCACAAGACAUCAAGUGCCACUUGUAGUAUCCAAAAAGCAACCAGUUUGCACAAAGUGAUGCCAUCCCAGAGUACACCUCCUCAGCUGGUUCCAAAGCCUCCAACAAACCACAGACAGGCAGUGAUCAGAAAGGCUGCAGCCCAGAGGAUUUCCAAGGUGACCUCCACUGAAAAGAAACUGAACGGAUUCCAGAAGAGCCUUCACAGUUCUGCAUCCUGUGAGCUAGGGACAAAUUCCACAGCCUCUGCUCGCAGAGAAGGAUUAACACACAACACCAGGUGAGGAAUCCAGAGUGUUGCUUCAAGUAUGGAGCAAAGGAAAAAGCAGCACUGACUUCAUACCACCGCACUCCCCUAACAGCCAGAAAAGAGAGAAGAGGAGGCCUUGGUGAGAGGAAAACCCACUGAAGAGAGUACCUGAACAUCUCUGGAAGCAGAUUUUGGUGAUACACCUGCACACUGAGUUCUUCAGAUCAGCAUGAUAGAGCACUUAGCAUGGUGGUGUCCAAAUGAGAUCUUCAGAUCCUGAACCAUACUUAAGAAAUUUCUGUAGCAAGUCUCCAGAUGUCAAAUUGUGUCAUGCAAGGCAGCUUGUUGCAAGCUGGGUGUCUUCCAAAGACUCUUGUGAGUCAGAUUUGUCUGCUACUGCUUUCCUCCACAAGUGGAGUUUCUUACAAAUCCUUGAAAACAAUGGAUAUCUCCGAAGCAUCUAGCCUACCUGCAAGAGGCCUUCAGCACUUCAAAAGACCAAUUUUUUGUUUGAAGAAAGGACCAGAACAUGGUUACCAAGACAUUCCCCAGUCAUUACACCAUGUGCAUUGCACAAAUCCUGUAAGAUUUGCCCCUGGCUGAACAGCAAAUCUUUGUUUUGUCUGCUUCCUGAAGAGGAUAAUAACUUCAGAAGAAAAAAGAAAUCCUUCCUGAAAAAUGGCAGGAAGUCUCUGGUUUGACAUCACCCAGCUGGCUUCUUUCAUCAAAUGGUGUACGUGCACUGACCAUGGUAUAUUAUUACAAUGCCUCAUGCUGAUUUCUGUAUCUGAUGAAUGAGUAUCUAAACAGGUAGUGAGAAAUGGCUGACUGUUGGCAGACCAGACAAAGGUCUGCCAAAAACCUUUGCUUUCUGCAGCAGGCCCAAUACCUACUUGUUAAUUAUUUCUUGCAUUGGUCUCUAUGGUCAGCAAUGAGGUAUCAUCUUCCUUUUUUUCCCUCACAGCUGAAGGAUGGGAUGCCAUCCAGAAGACCUUGACAAGCUUGAAAAGUGGGCCCAUGGGAAUCUCAAGAGUCUUAACAAGACCCAAGUAUAAGGUGCUGCACCUGGGUCAGGGCAACCCCUGGUAUCAGUACAGGCUGGGGGGUAAAUAGAUUGAGAGUGGCCCUGCUGAGAAGGACUUGGGGAUGCUGGUGGGUAAGAGGCUGGACAUGACCCAGCAAUGUGCACUUGCAGCCGUGAAAGCCAAAGAUAUCCCGAGCUGCAUCAAAAAAAGUGUGGACAGCAGGUCUGGGGAGGUGAUUCUGCCCCUCUACUCCAUUCUGUGCUGUGUCCAGCUCUGUGGUCCUGAGCACAAGAAGGGUAUCAAGCUGUUGGAGUGAGUCCAGAGGAAUGCCAGCAAGGUGAUUAGAGGGAUGGAGCACCUUACCUAUGAGGAAAGGCUGAGAGAAUUGGGUUUGUCAGCCUGGAAAAGAGACAGCUUAGGAAUGACCUAACUGCAGCCUUCCAGUACCUGAAGGAAGCCUACAAGAAAGACAGACAGGGACCUUUUACAAGAGUAUGUCACAAAAGUGACAGGAUAAAAGGGAAUGGAUUUAAAUUAAAAGAGAGUAAGUUUAGAUUAGUUAUUAGGAAAACAUUCUUUACUGUGAGGGUGGUGAGGCACUGGAACAGGUUGCCCAGAGAAGUUGUGGAUGCCCUGUCCCUGGAGGCGUUCAAGGCCAGGCUGGAUAGAGCUCUGAGGAACCUGGUCUAGUGACUCCUGCCAUGGCAGGGGAGUUGGAACUGGAUGAUCUUUAAGGUCCCUUCCAACCCAAACAAUUCUGUGAUUCUAUGAUCCUGCCUAGUCAACUAAGUGGAAUGAGAGACAAAGAAUAUCACCCUGCACAAAGACCACUACGCCUCUGAAAGGGGGAGAAAUCAGUCUUUGUCUUCAGAAGGUACCACUUGAAGAUUGGUAUUCCUGGGUAAUAGUUCAACAAUACCAGCAUAAACCAUAAGGGACAGACUUUCUGCCUGAAAGCUGUUCACUAAGUAUGCAGGAUGUGGGAAACUAAUUAUGUUAUGGGGUUUUUUUUGCCACAAACCACAGCUGUAAAUAAACUUAUUCUGUACUAGCUAGAAAGGUCCUUAUCCCUAAGUGUAUUUUUCUUCAAAUCAUACUGGGCCCACUAUGGGGCCCACACUCUCCAACAAAUGCUUGAUUGAAUGUCUUCAGACCAUCAUCUUUGCAUCUUCCCAAAGCAACCUAGCCCUAGAUAAGGGUGUUCUAAAAGCAGACGAAUAACUGAGGUCUGUAAUCUUGGAAAUUGUUUUUUCCUGGAAAUACACUGUGACAUCUGUGACACACUGUGAAGCAGUGCUGUACCACAUUCUUUCUGAAAUUAUGGGCAUUAGUGGCAUCUCAAAUGCAUUACUAUCGUUUAGGUAAUGGCAACCAUUAAUUAGCAAUCUUCAUUUGCUGUAUUUCUUGUUGCUGUACCAGAAUUCAUUUCUAAGACAGUCUAUUUUCCAGUGAGUAAACUGUCUCAUCUCUUCUACAUUGACUUGUUGCAUGACAAUGGAUCUUGCGUUUGUACAGGGCAUCUGAAGCCUCUCUUCAAAAAAGGACAAGAGACACUGAACUUAGUUGCUUCCAUCUUAGUUGUUUCCAUCUCUCACUUCUGGAAUUGCAUCAAAACUGAACCAGAGUUUAAAUGACUUCCUGUAUACAAAAGAAAACAUUGGUAAAGCAGAGAUCUGAAAGUCCAGGUGUUCUUUUGCUAAACAUAAUAAUUUUAUAUAGCUUUUAACCAUAUAUAACUUUUUUCUAGUGGUUCUGAAUGUAAAAGUAAAAAUUUAAUAGAUGUUAUCUUUAAAGAAUUAGAAGGCAUAUUUUCCUCCUUGUGCUAUAUCAAAAUUGCUGCUGUUACUUUAAACCACAAUUCAAGUUUAUAGUCAACCCAUAAAACCACAAAUUAGUCUAGUUUUGCAAGUGCGUAGAUAGAGCGCUGCUGUCUCUGUAUGUAUUGAAAACUUUAUCCUCUUGGUUGAUUUCAUUGUCUUUCAAUCACCUAUUAGAGAAGACAAGCCAGUACUAUAGAUAUGAUGUUCUGUAUGCCAUUAAAAACACUUGGAGUGGACAAGAAGCCUUUUCUGCACAAUGGAGCUGGCCUUAGAGCUGCACCCUGGUCACGCUGUGAUACUGAACCUGCCCUGCGUUGGAUCUGAGACCAUACUGAAGAUGUCUGCCUCCUGACACACUGCAGUGGAUCCUCUUCUGUCGUGGGAUGGCUGUAGUGAUUUCAUUUGCUCAGUAGUCUUGAGCCAGAAGACCUGUAUAUGCUCUGAUGAGGACACUCUAGUCACAGGUAAGGAAACCUUCAGAGCAACGCUGAAAGGUAAGGAUGCGUGAAUGGAGAAAAUGAAAAUUUGGCAGCUACAAUAGAGGGAUGUGAGACAGGACUAAGCAGAACAGAGCUAUGUUAUUGCCAGAGUAGUGGACAAGUAUAUUUGUCCUCUGUAUCUUAUAUUACUUUUGGGCACAGUCCAUCUUUUUGACUGAGUGUAUUGAUGUAUGUUGGUUAUGGAAAGCAGCAUAUCUCAGUUCACACAGUGGCAACAGGGAUGUGCUUUAUGUAAAUGCAGUGAGAUAGCUAGAGAUCAUCCAACCCAAAGACCAGGGACACAUUUAGUGUGCAAAGACUGUUCUUUGCUGAAGUGUAAGUGUAUCUUCCUGUACUCACUGAAACAGUGAUCCUCUCUGAGGUCUACAAUACACUACAGCCUGAAAAGCAAGGUAUAAGCCUUUUACAUGCUAUAAUAGUUUGCCACAGAGAAACAGGGACUACACAGAUGGUGGUUUGAUCAUCUGUGCAGGAUCUGCCUUAUGGCACUACAGAAUAGGUUUUUUUCACUCUUUCUGACCAUUGAUCUUUGUUAAAGAGACAAAGUGUGCUGGGCUUGUUUUCAUCGGCUUUUGUUUGUUUCUGCAAACAAAAAGGGAACUGUUGAGAGCUGUAUUCAGUGUUGGCAAUGAAGAUCCCACUUUUUCUUUCCCAUUGUCUUCUUCAAUUUGCUAGCUAGUAACAGCAUAUAGAAAAUUGCCCUCUGCCUUCUCACACAAUUGUCCUGAAACAUUUUGGUAUGCCUGCACCCAGAAGAGUAUUCAAUCAGUUACUAAACGCCAUGUAGCUAGUACAGUUUGUUGCUGAAUUAUAGCUAGAACACCCCUAGAAAUGCUAUUUUAAUUUUAAGAAAAUUAUUUUGGAGCCUGUCUUACAAAUCUAAUUCUCAAAUGUUGCUAGGGAAACAGAAGGCUGGACAGAGAAGCAGUAACUGAAACGUGUCUGAUUUCAAAGAUUACUGUAGCCAUGAGUGUACUUGUGUCCACACCGGUUGGACACACCAACACUCUUCUCCCCAAUUGCCAUUUUGCCUCUUGUCAAGAGGCAAAAGGCUUGAUUCUUCUGCCACCCCUUCCUGCCACUGAGGAACAGCAGUGAACAAAGGCCAGAAAGACAAACCCACCCCAAGGGGCUGACAGGCUUAAUCCGUGGGUGAUUCCAAUGUGUUCCAAGUGCCAUGUAGGACUUUCAGCUGUGCAAGUGUUCUAGCUCAACCCUUUGCGGCUCCCCCUCCCCAUUUGUUUGGGGUUUUUUCCCCCACUUUACUAUCAAGGAAGCCCUUCAAGGGGAUGGGGAGCAGAGCCAGCCCAGGGUUCAGGAGGAACAAUGACCAAAAUGCAGCUUGUAAACCAAAACCUCCCUAGGGGCUGCUACUAAAAGGAGAUCAGAGAGAAUUCCUAUGCCAAUAGGCAUCUGGAUUUUCUCCACCCCCAUUGCAGCCACUAAAUUUCUGGCCUAUCAGCAUGGCAGUGUAGUUGUAAUAUAUUUAUUUGAUCCCUCCUAAGCAGGUGGCAGGGAAGCAUGGGCAUGAGGGCUGUAUAGGGCACAGCCAAUACCUGCUGCAGGACUGAUCAGAGCCGCACCUUUCAUCAUCACACCAGUGACGCGGGUCAGGGAGCCUCAGAGAGAUGAAAGGGAUGAAGCCAAGUGUUGGGGAGCGCCUCUGUCAGAGCAUGUGUGCCCCAGCCAGAACAUCACAUGGGUUGGCAGGCUCCCUCCACUGACCCACCCUUGCUAACCUCUAGCCAGCGGGUGAUAGUGCAGGAAGGGUUGUUUACAGUUUAAGACGUUUGAGUUUACAUGUUAUGGCAGCCUCACAUGCGGUAUUAGGAAGCAGCCACUAUUGUGAAGGGCUUGAUGGAAGAGCUGAAUUUAUGAGCUGACCCUGGAGAGCCCUGGCCACAAGCGAUUAACCAGCUAGGUGUCAUUUUACACUCAGUUGCUGGGGACCAGGAAUUGGGAGGGGACAGGGAGGAACCUCUGUGGUCUCUAGAAUAUGACUGUGUAGUUGUAGUUUGGGGAAUCAGAGACAGCCUCUGAGUCUCAUGUGGCAUGCAAGCACCAGAGAUUUUUACCUCUGGGAGUAUCUAUGGCUGAAAAAGCCCAUUUAAAAGAGUACACUGAUUUCCUGCCUGGGCAACAUGUGUCAUCUUUUUUAUGAGCAUCUGGAAUGUUCAUGGUACAUGAGGAGGAAGGGUGUGUAUGUACAGGUCUAUACUGGCAGACCAUAUAUAUUCAAAUGGACAUAGGACAUUUGUCAGCUGCACCACCCUGGGUAUUUAAACAGUAUUGUUGGAAGUGUUUUACAUUUGAAGGGAGUUUUAUAUGAAUCUAUCAAAAGCAGAUGCCAGAGGUAAUAUACAUGUCUGAAGGACUAGGGUGAGACAGGGCACAUAUACACCAGGCACAGUUUGAGGGUAACAAGGAAUUUCCAUACUGGGAUUCUCCUGCCAACCUAAAUUCUAUCUGUGCCUUUGAAGAGACAUUUUGGAAAGGGCAAAAACUUUUGACUGAGUAUGUCACAGUGGUAGCACUUUAAAAAUGGCAAAUCAUCUAACUCUCCAACAAACAACUUGCUUGUGGAAAAAAUUAGCAUCUCCCCCCAAAAUAUUUAUUUUUUGCAAAGUUUUUGAGAUUACUAUUUUUUAAGUCUUGGCAGGUGAAACCUGGGUCCUGUUCAGGUCAUCAUGCAGAACAGGUGCAGAACACCCCAAAGCACCUCACAAACCACAACAGACAAGAGGUCCUCAGGGUAUGUCAGAUCACAAAUGAAUGGGCCCAAUAUUCAGGUACCCACAGGUAUUGCUCCUGCCUGACCCGAAACCAUCUCUUAGAAACUCCAGGAAGGUGAAAGAGCUGAAUGGAGACACCAGUCCCUCUGAAAAUGGACUCAGCACCCUCUUUCCUUGUAUUUGCCCACCCUCAGUAGGCUGGCUGGGAGCCUUGCAGUUUGCAUUUGGAAACCAAUAGGCAGGAUCUGUCAACUGAACUUAAGAGGUCUGGCAGGCAUGGUUUCAGUUGCAAGAUUCUUGGAUCACAGCUCUGAGGAACAAAAGUCUUAAGUGUAUCUCUUGAGCGUUUCUUCUCUCAGCAGCUUUCCAUCUUGGUGCAUUUGCCUUCUCUAAAGAAACUUGCAAGGUUUCCUCCAACAGGGAAAACCUUUAGUACUUCAGGCCAGCAGGGAGGGCUGAGGUCUUAAGACAGCUAAAGCUAGAAUAGAAAACAUCUCCCCAUUUCCAUUCCCCCUUGCACCUGCUUUUUCAUUCUCUUGUUUUCCCAGCUCAACCACCCAGCAUUCAAAUACACAGCAGUUCCUUCACCUUAUCCUUCACUUCCGCACCAACUGUCCAGCCAUUUUGGAGAGCGUGGCCUUUGUGUCACCAAAGUAACUCCUAGAAGGAACGCUGCACUGCCAAGACAACCAAGAAGUGUUCCAGAAGAGAUCCCCAAGGGCUGCCAGACUUUACAAGCCACAGGAUUUGGCACUUGGCCCUCAGCAUGCAUAGUCUCUGACCCCCAGUUCUCUUUGUGUUAGCCUGGGAGCAGGAGAGUGGGUGCUGACAGUUUUUCUCUUGGCUUUGGGUUGGCCAGGGGGCCUUUUCAGCUGCACUUGCAGGAUUUCACCACCAUGUUGGAGAGCUGCUCCACUUUGGGGGUCCUCCCAACAUAGUACAAGAUAGUGAGCGGCUCCAGGUCCUGGGGCACACAGCAGGGUGAAGCAGAUGCCUCAGGGUUCAGCGUGUUGUAUAAACCCAGCACCUGCAGAAACAAAGUAAAUGUGGUGACAAAGUCAGGAAUAUGUUUAAGUUAGUUGAGGACAGGACGGGGCUGCAAAGUCAAUAGGCCUCCAGGGGUUUGGACUAUGCUCAUCAGAGGGUAUUUCCCUGAAUUGAGGAAUACUCCCCCAUCACUUCUUGAUCAUGGUCUGCUUCUAAAGGGUCUCACCUGCCCUGGCCUGACUUUUACAACUUUGUUUAUUAACUGUAACAGCCUUGCUCUCUGUGACUGAUGCCUAAGGGUUGAAGGAGUAUAAGUAGUUGUCUCCUUUCAUCUCUAAUUUGGUACAGCAGAAUGUCACAAUUUUUGCUUUUAACAAGGCUGGGUGUAACCAGCCUGGGGCCACGUUUUCUUGGAUUCUAUAAAGAAACCAGAAGAAAGAGUGUCAGUGCUGCUUAUUUCAACCAGCAUCUCCAGAUAGCACUGGAUGGAUGCCAGUCCUCUCAAGUAUCCACAAUUCCCUCCCAGCUUUGAACUGUCUGAUGCCUUCCCCCUCCACUCCAUCCUCCAAGUCAUUACACUGUAAUGCUGGAGCCAGGAGAGUGUCCUGUGGGACCCCACUGGAUUCUUCCUCCCAGCUGGCCCCAGCCCACAGAUGACUGUACACUGCAGCCAUGUAACCACUACAGAGCAGUUGCCAUGUUUCUUGCCAGAGGUGACCAUUUCUCUGCAGUAAGCAGCAGUAAGCAGCUUCUUGAGUUGUGGGGCCAAAACAUGAUCUCACCUGCUCUACUGUGGUCUCUUUAGUGCUUAUCUGGUAUAAACGACAGGGUCUGGCACAUUGUAUUUUAACUACUUUACAGUCUUUGGGGAUGGGAAAUGCUAAGGAUACAUCCUGUUCUAUCAUCCAGAUCCAUGUAAUCACAGUUGUGGUAAAAACUCUCUGGGAUAAUAAGCAAAGUACCCCUGGCUAUACCACAUGCUCUGGGGUUACUCUACUCAACAGCGGGUUAAACAGACUGGUGAGAAGUCUUCUUUUCAUCAUGUUCUUCCUAGCUGGUGCUGGCAAGCUGUCAGCCACUAUAUUGUUCUAAAGGUUUCUAUAAUCACUUCACUGACCUUAAUGCUUGAUUGUUUCCUUUCUUGCUCAAGAACAGAACAUUAGGAACCAUCCUAAAAUCUACUUUCUCUCACACUGAUUCUGGCCGGUUAUCUACUAGAGAGCUUCUCAGGACAACCAGAUGGUAAAGCUACAUGCCCAUUACCCUUUCAAAGCUGUUCAUUCCCUUGCUUUUUCUUGUGCUUAAUGCCCAGCAUCUGUUCACUCCUUCUUUCCCACAGAUCAGCUGUUCCCACUGAUAUUAGUCCUUGAGCUUCAGUGAACCUUACUGCUGUGCAGACUCUCAAGCUGUCAAGAACAUGUUAGCAUCUCUUCUGCAAUAUCAUCUUUACCUAGUCAUCCAUUCUUCAGCUGAAUCUGCUUUUUCCAAUAACUCUUUUAGUGAAAUCUGAAGGUAAGCUGCUAGUGAGCUGUUGUAUUAUCUGGAUGGCUGCCUUUUCUCUUCUGCAGGCAGCAGCACAGGAUUUUCCUCUGGCUUUUCCUGCUUCAGCAGUGGACUGUCUGAUCCUUAGUCUGUCUUCUUCUCUUGAUACUUUUCCAAUGCCUGUGCUUUUCUGUUGCUUUUAUUUUCUUCCACUCUAGCCAGGCUCAGAUUGUAUUCUUCCCAAAGACUGACCAGUCUACUCAUGUUAAAGAGAGAUUGUGUGUAAGUUACCUAAAGACAUUGCUUUCUGACAGUUUUUUCUCACAAAUCUCACUGCUUAGUAGGUUCUUCCCUGCUGUAGGUCAGGUAUAAAUCCUACUGGAAAGGACACCUGUGCAGAAAGGAAAUCUUACUGAAUGGUUGUGUUCACGUCUAGACAGGGACAUGGAUUUCCCUUCACUUUCGGGCUACAGCUGCCCCUGUGAUAGUAGAUGGUAGGCCUGUGCCACUGCACAACAGUUUUGCAUUAUAGCCUCACACAGAGCAUAGAGAAAUCCUCUAUUCAGUGCAAACUGCAGGAAAAAAUUAGGCAGAAUUGAUGUUUGAUGUGAACAGUUCAGUUAAUACUGUGGCCACUGCCACAUAAGUACCCUAAAACCAUCAGUCCUGCUGUUUCACAUCUUAUCCAAGAGAUAAAAAACAGCAUCCUUCUCCUCAACAUUUGCCUGAAAGCUCGUACUCAGUAUUGACUCCAAAGGAAGCACAUUCUCCCUCCUGAACCACCUAGGCUUUUUUCUGCAGUUUCCUUGGAAUGGUUUUUACAAAUAUUGAUCUGAACUGCUUUUGCUGCUUUGAAGAGACUAGAUAAUUGAACAGACAUAGGGAGGAAGGGGGAAACACAGCCAUAAGCCUUGACAGGAUAAUAUACAGGAUGUACCGUGCUGUGAGUGGUGUCUGCGCUGCGGAGGUACGGACAAGGGCCCGAACAAAAGUUAGCAAAGUAGCCCUUAGGCUCAUGGACCCACUUCCAGCCAAGGUCCUGUCGGAAGUCAAUGUACAGAGGGCGCACGCAGCAGUUCUCCUCCAGGUUCCUGAAACACAGUAUUGGAACACAAUGAAUGCAAAUGGGGGCCUUAUAUGCGACUGCAAGAUGCAGCUUCCCAAGCAGAAGGACAAGUACCCAGUGGGACAUGGUGUUUGCGUGCGCCAAGUGCGGAGGAGUGGCACAGGCAAGUGGUAGUGGGGCAGCUCAGCAGCCUGGCACAGCUUGUGCCUGCUUGCCCACCACCCCAGGGAGGCAGCACCCAGCUGCUCUAGCAACUAGUAGGGCGCUACUACAGAUCCCUGCCCACACAGGGCUCCAGGAAGGUGCUUGCAAGUCUCUUUGAUCCAGAAGCACAUUGCAACUCUGCUGAACUGGCCAGCAUCCCUUUCUUGGACACCACGGGAAUAGCUGGCUGAGAUGUGCUCCUUAUGUGGCCCUUCUGGCACCAUGGUGACACACAACCCCCUUGGGAGAGCUCUGCCUUUCCUGGAGGCAUGGAGUCUCACCAGGCUUACCCACCUCAGGCACAGGAUCCAGGCAUGAUUCUCACUUACCGGAAACAGUAGUUGGUAUCUAGGGCCCGUUUCUUUCUCUGGCCUCCCAACACUGGGCUCUCCAGUCGAUGUGGGGGUAACAUCAUCAAGAUGAGGUGGGGAUUAUGCAAGUCCUUCUGCUUCUUCAGGCGGCCCAAGUCCCCACGGCCAUAGUCAUCCUCACUGUCAAUGCCUUCAGAGAAAAAGAGGAUCCACAAAAAAGAAAUCAGCAUGGAAGUGGAGGAUGCAACAAGACUUUUCAAUGCUUUUAACACUCUCUUGAACCAGAUGAAAGGGAUUCAGGCACCAUGUCCACUUACUCUGGGACUUCUUCCCUCACAGGGAACCCUUUUAUUUCUGGUGCAUCUGACUGCUGCAGGCCUGAAGUAGAGGCUUACAGGCCACCUGUUUUACCAUUUGCAAACUGCUGGUGGGGCCAUUAAUCCGUCCCACUCACUCCUGGCUUUGGUCCCAGGACAGGCAGAAAGAUGAAUGGUUUAAAGAAGAUGUCAGAUAAUUGGCACUCGGCAGAACAGCCUCAGAAAUUAAGCCUGUGGGGGCCAGUGGCUGCUGCCCAGGGCUGCAAGCCAGGAGGUUCCUAGUUCUUAGGCCAGCCAAGCCACUGACUCUCUGAGCCACCUCACACAGGAUGCCUAACUUCCGUGUGUUUCAGUCACCCUAACUGGAAAGCAGAGCCUCUGUGGAAACCUGAGAAGGAACCAAGCUGAACUUCCCAGAGAGACACUGAAAUACAAAAUUAUUCCUUUCUGCAGACACUCGAGCAAGCCCACUCAACCUGCUUUUACUUUCUUCCUUUUGUAACCUAUGUAUAUAGUGGAUAUGCCCAUAUAAUGAACAUGCAAACCCGAUGUGUAUGCUUUAAGACGUUAGAAAAUGUAAAAUGCUCAAAUAUGCAAA
RNA transcript from Myiozetetes cayanensis, 15089 nucleotides. It is a transcript of the gene named tubulin tyrosine ligase like 5, with no coding region annotated. The transcript is spliced from 35 exons. NCBI's taxonomy places the organism in Eukaryota, Metazoa, Chordata, Aves, Passeriformes, Tyrannidae. The record is from RefSeq and is a predicted model, not a curated record.